RNAcentral lists this transfer RNA (60 nucleotides) under Bacteroidales bacterium. RNAcentral describes it as "tRNA-His". It matches the Rfam family "tRNA", at positions 9 to 63 of the family's 71-position model. From Rfam's summary of the family: Transfer RNA (tRNA) molecules are approximately 80 nucleotides in length. The record is from RNAcentral. Lineage: Bacteria; Pseudomonadati; Bacteroidota; Bacteroidia; Bacteroidales.
AGCUCAGUCGGUUAGAGCGCUUGAUUGUGGUUCAAGAGGCCGCGGGUUCGAAUCCCGUCU